UACGUAGGGUGCAAGCGUUAAUCGGAAUUACUGGGCGUAAAGGGCUCGUAGGUGGCCAACUAAGUCAGACGUGAAAUCCCUCGGCUUAACCGGGGAACUGCGUCUGAUACUGGAUGGCUUGAGUUUGGGAGAGGGACGCGGAAUUCCAGGUGUAGCGGUGAAAUGCGUAGAUAUCUGGAGGAACACCGGUGGCGAAGGCGGCGUCCUGGACCAAUACUGACACUGAGUGAGCGAAAGCCAGGGGAGCAAACGGG
Molecule: ribosomal RNA, 254 nt
Filed under: uncultured bacterium
Lineage: Bacteria
Description: partial 16S ribosomal RNA
Rfam family: Bacterial small subunit ribosomal RNA
Source: RNAcentral